This 249-nucleotide unclassified non-coding RNA is filed under the name Hevea brasiliensis (rubber tree). Lineage: Eukaryota; Viridiplantae; Streptophyta; Magnoliopsida; Malpighiales; Euphorbiaceae. The record is from RNAcentral.
GUUCAAUAUUUCUUCUUUUCCUUUCAUAUUUUACCUUAUAUGCACGCAUAUAACUGGGUCUGGGACUUCUUUUCAGUUCACUGCUUACUUUUGACGUUGUUAACUAAAGCAAAACAUAUUAUUUUAUAAUGUGCUAGUACCUUAAUUUGUGAUGAAGAGAUUCUCAGAGCACUUGACGUGUUUGCAAAUGCUUCUUUACUUCUCCAUUACUUUGUUCUCCAAGUCCGUAGCCCCUUUCCAUGCCGCCAG